Long non-coding RNA from Labrus mixtus (cuckoo wrasse), 1691 nucleotides. RefSeq lists it as uncharacterized. The transcript has 2 exons. NCBI's taxonomy places the organism in Eukaryota, Metazoa, Chordata, Actinopteri, Labriformes, Labridae. The record is from RefSeq and is a predicted model, not a curated record.
GCUCAGCUGCCUGCUGGAUAUUCUGUCAGCAACAUGUGGAUAUAAAACUGAAGCACGUUGAUGCAAAGCAUGGCUCCAAAUAUGAAGUCACAGUCUGAGCUCCUGUGAAGAACUGCUGCUGUUUGAUGUUGUAGUGUUUGACUAAAAUGUAGAAAACCUUUUACAAUCCUGACUGCUGUUCAUCAACAAAUAAAUCACAAAUACAGAGACUACUUUUGACUGUGAACAUGUUUAAGAAAUGUUUGAAACCAGUGAUCAAUGGUGAAAAAGAACCUGCACUGGGUUGCAGCAGCUCUGUGUAAGUAGAAAAGGUAGUCUAGUUUGAACAUGUUUUCUUAUUUAGGACGGAGUUUACGCUCUACUAACAUUCAAGGUGUUGAACCAAAUCUUACACUUAGCUCCUAGUAGAUGUGAAGUCCUCUGAAAAAACAGUUGUCAUGGUGAUGGUUUUGAAGGGUGGGAUAACUUGGAGGAAGAGGAGGAGCUGAGGGGUUGACCAGCUGCUUGGCGUCCGCAGUGUGUUCACCAUGAUAGAUUACAUCCUUCAGAAAUGUAUGAGGACUUUGAUUUUACUCCUGCUUUAGUUUUCCAUGAGCAGAGAUCAUUUCAUAUGUCCAAUAAUGAAACGCUGUUAAAUGAUCUUAUGUUUUAGUUGACGAUUUCACCGCUGGAUUCAGUAGAUUGUUCUGUAGUUAUAUUACACUAGCUGUCUGUUUGGAGACAAUACAACACAAGAGUAAACACACAACAAACUCUGCAUUAAGAAAAAUGCUUCUCACUGUUUGGUCACAUCAAGUUAAAACAUCAUUUCUGAAACAAUAUUUUAAUUAGUUUGGACGUAACGCUCUACUAGUAAAGAUAAACCUUACGUUUCUGAGGUAACCAAACAAUGACACAACCUAAGCUACAAAUGAACUAGUUUACACGUAGUGUUUGGUGUUGGCUUUACACCACAACUGAUCACACAGGACAGUGAAAUUCUACCCAUGGACCCUACUGAAGUUCAAAUAAAACAUACUUGUACUUGACAGUUUUUCCAUUUGAUGCAAUGUUGUAGCUCAGUACAAUUCAGUGACACGUAUUGUACUCAAACGCGUCUUCAAAGCUGGUGCUGAUAUAUAUUUUUUAAUGUGAUUGUGUUAAUAGAGCAAAGUGAAAAAUCGACGGACUGACCACAAACAUCGUAAGGUUGAAAAAGAAAAUGGAUGUCAAUGCAGGUUUAAUAGAAUUAAAGAACUUCCUUGGGGCAGAGGAGAUCAGGGUUUGGUUUGGGGUUAAAGCUGGCAGCAGUGAAGGGAUAAAGUGUGUAUUUUGAACAUGUCUGAGAUAAUUAAAUCCUUAAAUGAUGAUUGUGAAAGCUUUGUGAUGUGCUUUUCAAAACUUUAAUACCUUUGAAUUCAGAGGCCAAAAGUCUUUGCAAGAGGUUUAGUGUGAUUCAAUAAAGGACCAGCAGAUGGCAGUAUCUGUUAAAUAUUCUUCGGUUAUAUGAACCUCUUAAAAAAUUGUUGUGGUGUUAUCACUCCUGCUGAAUGUUAACAUAGUUGUGCCUUUAAAAAAAUGUUUUCAAUCCGACAAAUUAUCCUCUGCACUAGCUGAAAAUGAACUGCAAACAAUCACACGGCGAUUAUUAAGUUUAGAUUAAAAAGCCUUUAUUUAGAAAGGGAGAGUUGACAGAGCACUUACAAACUGAA